CACAAACAACUGACGCCUGAGAAAAAUAAACAGCUGAUACCAUCAGAACAGGCUGGUGCUCUCAUGAGAGUGGUAAUCGAAGGAACUGAUGAAGUAAAUGAGACAAUGCAUGAUAGAGACCAAAACAGUGAAAUUGUUCCAUAUAGUCCAAGUGCAACUUUAAUGAAUCAGUAUCCUUCGGCCAGCUAUCAACCAUCAGCAUUUCUGUUUGAGAGAGUUAUAUUGCAGAAAAGACCUGAGGAAUGUAUCCAUGAUCUGGCUGUUGCUACCCAUAAUGAGAAAAUAGCAGAAACACAAGUUUCCCCUCCACUUCCUAAGGAGAGAAAAAAACGAAAAGUUGAUCCAAGCUCCCAAGUAGAUGGGGAUGUUGAAAUUGUGCCAAGAAGAAAAAGAAAAAAUGAAGCAAAUCCAGCAGUAUUUGAUUUGCCCUCAGAACCUUACAAUCCUCUGGGGUAAGACGAGCCUAUGGAGGAAGAUGUGCCUAUGGGGGAAGAUGAGCCUAUGGAGGAAGAACAUAUACAAGAAAAGGAAAGUGAUGGUCCUGAAGAUUUUUGCAAUGAGUACUCAGUGGCAAUUGAAAGCUCUAAGCUCGACACACUUGAAGAGGCAGCCAAUGAGAAAGAGGUGAACAACGUCUGCAAUCAUGAAAUGCAGAUUCAUGAAGAUCUGGGCCAUGUAUGCCGUGUCUGCGGUAUGAUUGUGAGAAGGGCUGACACAAUCAUUGAUUAUCAGUGGAGAAAGGCAUCAAGGUCAAGAUCAUAUUUCUCUGAAAAGCGUUCAAAGGAUUCUGAUGAGAUUGUCACUGCUGAUAAAUCUUAUCAAUCCCAAAUCAGUAUUUGUUCAUUCCCUAUUCAUCCAAGACAUGAAAAGCAAAUGAGACCACAUCAGUUGGCAGGUUUCCACUUUCUGGUUAAGAAUAUAGUAUCUGACAAACCAGGAGGUUGCAUUCUAGCUCAUGCCCCUAGUUCGGGGAAAACAUUUAUGCUGAUUAGUUUUAUUCAGAGCUUCUUGGCAAAGUAUCCCUCUGGAAGGCCUCUCGUUGUACUCCCUGGCAUAUUAGGUACAUGGAAACGGGAAUUUCAACGGUGGCAAGUGGAGGACAUACCUCUGUAUGAUUUGUGCUCUGUCACUGACAGAGCAGAUCAGUUGGAAAUCCUUAACGCUUGGCAAACCAAUAGGAGUAUCCUCUUGGUUGGAUACACUCAGUUCUCUUGGAUCAUUAAUAGUGAUGGGGCUGUCACCGUCGCAGCUGCAUGCUGGGACAUGUUGCUUAUGGUCUCUAACCUACUUAUAAUGGAUGAGGGCCAUACACCUAGGAAUGAGUCGACGGUGCUAGAAUCACUGUGCAGAGUACAUACUCCACGUAAUGUGGUCCUUACACUUUCCCAGAAUCACGUCGUAGAAGUGUUCAACAUCUUGAACCUUGUACGCCCAGAGUUUCUCAAGAUAGUAGCAUCUCAUCCUAUACUUUCCCAGAAUCACGUAUCAAUAUCAGGUCACAGGAUUUCAAAAGGGGUCUCUGAUAAAUUCACCGAGUCAGUAGAAGAGACCCUACUGCAUGAUGAUAACUUCACGAGAAAAGCACAUGUCAUUAGAAGUCUUAGAGAACUAUCAAAAGAUUUGCUUCACUACUACACGGGUGAUAUCUUGGAUGAACUACCUGGCCUAGUAGACUUCGGUGUCUUCUUGAAACUCAGCCCCAAGCAGAAAUAAAUCGUUCAUAAGUUGGAAGCCUAUGAGAAGAAAAAAAACGCAGUAGGAACUGCCCUGUACAUGCAUCCAUGCCUGUCAGAAAUAUUAGAAGUUGAUGCUGGAGAUAGGGCUUCCAGCUUGACAGGUGUAACUGUUGAUAGUCUGGUCCGGUCUAUCAACGUGGCCGACGGUAAGGCCAGAUUUUUCACCAAUAUCCUGGCACUUGCGGAAUCUGCGAGAGAGAAGGUCAUUGCAUUUAGUCAGUACUUACUUCGCAUGAAUUUUUUGGAAAGGCUAUUGGUUAAGACAAGGGGCUGGCAAGUAGGAAAGGAGUUCUUUGUGACCCGUGGUGAUAAUAAAUCUACUUCAGAAGAUAGACAACUGACAAUGGAUCAGUUUGACAACUCUAUUGAUGCAAAAGUCCUGUUUGGCUCUACCAAGGCAUGUGGGGAGGGCAUCUCCCUGGUCGGCGCAUCAAGAGUCGUCAUUCUAGAUGUUUUGAACCCCUAUGUUACCCGUCAGCCAGUAGAAGAAAGUGUUGGCUCAUAG
Molecule: ribosomal RNA, 2241 nt
Filed under: Triticum aestivum (bread wheat)
Lineage: Eukaryota; Viridiplantae; Streptophyta; Magnoliopsida; Poales; Poaceae
Description: partial small subunit ribosomal RNA
Source: RNAcentral